UCAACACCUCAAUAGCCCCCAGGUGGCGUCAGUGUCUUGAUGGGACGAAAUCCGCCAUUUUUCUUUCCGAGACCGUUAACAGUUAACACCGCACAGUCAGCCGCAUUAGGUUCUACAGGACGUCGAGUGCGAAAUUACUGUUCAACGUUCGCCACGUUAAACUUGAAAGAAAAUUGAUUGAAAUUGAGAGUUCCUUCAUGUAUCUUAAAAAGGUGAUAAGGACACUCCAUUCUCAGCACGUGAUCGAUCCUGUUCACCAUGCUGUUCACGUUUAGAUAAAUUUAUCUCGCCAGAAAGAUUCCGUGAAAAGGUUAUCCUAUCGAAACUCAAUUAUUUCUCUGAACAUCUUGCUCAAAAAUUGUAAUCUAUUUGUAUCCAGACUGAAGAACUGAAGAAACUUGAACAACUGAAAUAAU
Molecule: long non-coding RNA, 416 nt
Organism: Daphnia pulicaria
Lineage: Eukaryota; Metazoa; Arthropoda; Branchiopoda; Diplostraca; Daphniidae
Exons: 5
Source: RefSeq, a predicted model, not a curated record